AAUAAGUGCAGUUUUGCACUGUUCAUAUUAAACGUUUGACCGUUCAUCUUAUUUGAAAAUUUUUAUGAUUAGUAUUUUUAUUGCUAUUAGAUGAUAAAACAUGAAUAGUACUUUAUGUGUGACUAAAUAUUUUCAAUUUUUUCACAAAUUUUUCAAAUAAGACGGAUGGUCAAACGUUAGGCACGGUUAUCCACGGCUGCACUUAUU
Non-coding RNA from Oryza barthii, 207 nucleotides. Lineage: Eukaryota; Viridiplantae; Streptophyta; Magnoliopsida; Poales; Poaceae. The record is from Rfam.